Molecule: non-coding RNA, 29 nt
Filed under: Mus musculus (house mouse)
Lineage: Eukaryota; Metazoa; Chordata; Mammalia; Rodentia; Muridae
Also listed under: 1 other name
Source: RNAcentral
UGUCAUUGUGGGUAGCCAUUUAUUGAAUU